CGUCACAGCAGUUUUUAUAAGAUAUCAAUAAUAGACUUCGGAAACGUCUGUGGGAGAGAGAAUUUUCAUUGGAAAUUUUUCACCAGAACCUAUGUUACCUCAUCUCAUUAUUCAAAUGGUGGAGUUCUUCUUUAACCAUAUUCUCGUUUUCAAACUUCAUAUGACUCUCAUGUUCAUUUGGAUCUACAGAUGGCUCACUUCUUUUCUCAGACUGCCCUUGUCUGAUGUACUUUGGUAGCUAUAAUACAAAGCGUGAGGCAAAAGUUAUACAUGGAGACUCAAGAUAUGAAAUUGAUCUUAUUAACUUGGGAGUAUGUUGUAUGAUAUCGCAGUGAAACUGCCUCUUGGCAUACCACUUGAUGGAUUUACCAAUGCAUGCACCAGCUGAGCAAUUUCAUUGCGUUAUAGGACUCACCAAUGCAUGCACCAGCUGAGCAAUUCCUUACUCUUUGGUGCGAGAUUAUGCUGUUUGUGUCAUUAAUUUGUCAUAAUGGUGGAUGUAUGGCGAGGGGAUUGAAGAAGCAUUUGAAGACGCUUAAUAGACCCAAACAUUGGAUGCUCGAUGAACUUGGAGGUGAAUUUGUAAGCAAAGGAUCAAUAUAAAUAAAGGAUUGUAUUUUGUUUGAAACAGGCGACAGAAAUCUCAUCACUUCAGAGUUAGCGCUUGUGCUGGACCAUUGGUGUGUUUGAUUCCGAUGGUAAAAUGCUGGGUUACUUUCAACCGGGUCAUAGUGAACAGGUGUGUGUACUGUUUCAGGAAUUUAAACAUGCUUCAUUUUGUUAAUAUACUAAAGAAAUUUGACAAAGUAAGUAUAAUGAGUACUCUGUAUCCUUGAGAUUUCAAUUAGUCAUUGAAUGCUUUUAUAGUUUAUACCCCAGUACUUAAUAUGAUAAAUUACUGAGAUUUUUUUAUUUGAUUUUCAGGUUGUAAAAAACAAGCUUUAUCAUAAAUACCUUUGAACGAAUAUAAUUACAUUACUGACUGUAAUUCGCUUCUUAGACUUUUAUUUUUGUUAUCGGGAGUAUGGAAAAUAUUCUUUACAGACCCUUGAGUUACAGUUCUAAAUAUAUGGUUCAUCUAUAAACUUGUUUCAAAUGGUUCUGGAGAGAUCAUGUGGAUAUGACCAGCAUAUCAUAUAUAUCCAAUUGAACAUUGGUCCAUCCAUAAACUUGGUCUGUUGAUGCAGCGGUUCAAUAGUUUGUGCUUUGAUGUUGUUGUGUACAGACUUCUGCUAAAAUCUGGAUAGUCAUCUUUAACAUGUGGAUGUGUCAUUUGACCAGUUGGCUUUGGGUACACUUGGCUAGAUUGAACUAAUAACAGGUUUCAGAUGGCAGUUGGCAAGUACAUUCUUUUUGAAGGAAUCCAUAGACAAGGAUCCUUAUUUUCAGUCACUUGUUCGAAUCGUUAUAUCUUAAGACUGGAGUGAUGGAAGAUUUUGAAGCUUUUAGAUUUGUUAAGUUCGCUAGUAAUGAAGUGCUGCCUGUAGUAAGCUGCUAGCUCACAUGGAAUAUUUUGAAGCUUUUUGUUUUGUUAAGUUUGUAAAAGGAAUGUAGGUUGAGCAUUUUUUACUUAUGGUUGAAAUUUUCAGAUUUAUAACUUAAAAGGUAUGAUAAUAGAAGUUGUAAACAAACUCAUUUUAAUACAGAUCAAGUUUUUAAUUUGUUACGAA
Molecule: long non-coding RNA, 1670 nt
Organism: Papaver somniferum (opium poppy)
Lineage: Eukaryota; Viridiplantae; Streptophyta; Magnoliopsida; Ranunculales; Papaveraceae
Exons: 9
Source: RefSeq, a predicted model, not a curated record